UCCCUUCUUCCCCGACUCCUCUCCCUCGCGAUCCGAUUUCAUCGCCGGUCGCCGGCUAGCAACGCCGAUCGUCGGCCGUCGCGAGUUCACCACCGAUGGAGGGCUUCUCCUCCACCGUUCCUCACCUCCACCACUCGAUCUUCUCCUCCACGAAUCUGCCGAUCCUUUCUCCCUCGUCGCCGUACCCUAGAUUUGUCGACGCUGAGCUCUCCCGACCAUGACACGCCACAUGAUGCCACCAGAUCACCGCGAGCACCGGCGAUGUUGCUCCUUCGUCUCCGGCUAGCCGUCGCUGUCAUGUCUCCGUGCUCGAUCCAUGGCCUAACUGCCUCUCUGGGAUUCUGAUCGCGUCGGACAUCGUCGCGCCUCCUCGUUGACCAUGGGUAUUGCGCUCUUUUUCUGGCUGCAAGCACCCAGUGCUCGCCGGAGGCCAAGCGUGCGGGCCUGCGACAAGGGUAUGUGUCUUGAGCCUUUCCCCGAUUUCAGCUUAUGCUGAUUUCCUCCCGUACCUUGUCUCCUUCUCAGAACAGUAUUGAUCCGGCACUGUGACCGACAGAUCCUUUUGCAGUAGAUCGUCAUCCCUGAGAUGGAUAGGUUGUUGGAUGGAUUCAUUACGGAGAAGGUGACAGAUUUGCUGCCUAGCUGCCAAAGAUGGGUUCUCCGCAUGAAUCAAAAUCUAUUGGCACAGAUAUGGGGUGCUAGAUUUGGAGACUAUGGGAUAUUUUAGCUCCGACUAUAUUUUUCUAGCAGUGGGUGCUUUGUCGGCGAGUUAACAGCAAGUACACGGAUAAAGGACUUUGAUAUGGGAUGAUCAUCAUGACGUGGGAUUUAUUCUGGACACGAUCUACGUAU
Molecule: long non-coding RNA, 852 nt
Organism: Zingiber officinale
Lineage: Eukaryota; Viridiplantae; Streptophyta; Magnoliopsida; Zingiberales; Zingiberaceae
Exons: 3
Source: RefSeq, a predicted model, not a curated record